UGGGGAAUAUUGCACAAUGGGCGCAAGCCUGAUGCAGCCAUGCCGCGUGUAUGAAGAAGGCCUUCGGGUUGUAAAGUACUUUCAGUCGGGAGGAAGGUGUCAAGGUUAAUAACCUUGGCAAUUGACGUUACCGACAGAAGAAGCACCGGCUAACUCCGUGCCAGCAGCCGCGGUAAUACGGAGGGUGCAAGCGUUAAUCGGAAUUACUGGGCGUAAAGCGCACGCAGGCGGUUUGUUAAGUCAGAUGUGAAAUCCCCGGGCUCAACCUGGGAACUGCAUCUGAUACUGGCAAGCUUGAGUCUCGUAGAGGGGGGUAGAAUUCCAGGUGUAGCGGUGAACUGCGUAGAGAUCUGGAGGAAUACCGGUGGCGAAGGCGGCCCCCUGGACGAAGACUGACGCUCAGGUGCGAAAGCGUGGGGAGCAAACAGG
This 429-nucleotide ribosomal RNA is filed under the name Chloroflexota bacterium. RNAcentral describes it as "Chloroflexi bacterium partial 16S ribosomal RNA". It matches the Rfam family "Bacterial small subunit ribosomal RNA", at positions 355 to 776 of the family's 1533-position model. The record is from RNAcentral. Lineage: Bacteria; Bacillati; Chloroflexota.